ACUUUCUUUUCAUAGUUGUCAUAACUCCAGUGUUUUGGCUGCUCAAUACUGAUGCUCUUGAUGCACACUUAAUGUAGGAGACCUGAAGUGUGGACAUGGAUCCUGGCCAUUUAAGUCCACAAGAACAGGAUACCAUUAGUGCCAUUGUCAAGGCUAGGUAGUUACUGGAAGCCAUGCUAUGGGAUUUUUGCAGUUUGGAUCUUCUGAACAUUUCUGAUUUUUGCAACAAGGAGAUCAUUGACAUUAACCAAGUAAAAUCUUACGAUUUAGGGGCAUCCCGCAAAAGUGCCGGUAAACAUGUAUAUAUUUACAUAUGUACUAUGUCCUAGAUUAUAUAUAGUUUUGUUGGUAUAUAAUGAUUGAUAUUGAUUUAUUAUUUGCAGAAACACUCGACGAAUAAGGCGGAAGCACAAGCUAAAGGCAGAAGCACAACCUUGGUUGAUAUUUUCAUACAUACUAAUAAAUUGCAAUAUUAGAUAUAAAGAUCUGGCGUACCCAAUUGGUAACUGUGUUGUGUUGUAGUGGGAAAAAAAGAAGGAUAAAUGCAUCUGUUUCCAGGAAAGAAGAUAUGGAAAAACCCUCUCAUGUGUCUUGGUACAAGUUCAUACCGUUCAACAGUGAGAUUUAGGUGUGAUUAAUUGAUUAAUGAGAAUUUCGAAUUCAAAACUGAAGUAGACGUUAUUUUACAAAUUCUUAAAAACCCAAUUUCCUAAAAAGGUAUGGUAGCUUGUUUCUUUAUCCCGUUUAGAUUGAUAUCAUCAUCAUAGCUCUUCUCCCAACAAUUUCUUUUUGGUUCUCCUAAGGUGUGUUAGAUUUGGAUCUGAUGUCAUUUUAAUAACUGGCCCUUUCUUUACAUAAUGUGAUACCUUGAUGUCUUCCAUCAUUUCUGAUCAGACGCCUAUUUGCUCUCAUAGGGUCAAGAUCUUUACCAAUCAAAGCAAGUGAGAGAGAAGCAAAUUGCUCGCAUACUUGGAAAGGUAUGUUUGACAUGUUCUUCUCAUUGAAAAAUAUUAAAUCUUUAUGAACGUUUGGUGCGUAGGGAUCUUGAUUCUCAUGCAAUGUUGGUGCACUUUCUCUUUGGCAAAUAGCUGAAUAAUUCCAUCAUGAAUAAAGCACAACUGCCAGAAUUUUAUGGUCCGAUUUUAUUUGAUAAUUGCCAAUAUAAUGCUGUAAAAUGUAUUUUAUAUAUGCAGGCACCAACAAUUCAGCAGCAGCAUAUUUGAGGAUGACUGGAAGGCCGCCAGUUCUUCCUUCGAGCAACCUUUCUUAUUCAGAGAACUUUUUGUAUAUGCUGGACUCAUUGUAAGUUUCGCUCGGAUAGCUCUUCCUCUGAUGAUUAUACUGUAAAAUUCCAUGUUUCUUCUACAUUGGUAUUUAGUAGGAAAACCAUAAAGAAGAACAUGUUUACUUGGUGUGCAUCUGUAUGUCAAUAGAUUGAGUUGGGAACUUGGGAGCAUUUCAGUAAUACAUGGUUGUCAGCAACUAAUUGUGGAAGUCCUAACCAGCUCCAAAGUUUGCGACCUUUUGUUGUGUGAUGCUUAUGUUUCUGCAGAACUUCUAUUUUGUUGUUGUU
Molecule: long non-coding RNA, 1573 nt
Organism: Magnolia sinica
Lineage: Eukaryota; Viridiplantae; Streptophyta; Magnoliopsida; Magnoliales; Magnoliaceae
Exons: 2
Source: RefSeq, a predicted model, not a curated record